RNAcentral lists this ribosomal RNA (432 nucleotides) under uncultured bacterium. RNAcentral describes it as "partial 16S ribosomal RNA". It matches the Rfam family "Bacterial small subunit ribosomal RNA", at positions 29 to 506 of the family's 1533-position model. The record is from RNAcentral.
AACGAACGCUGGCGGCAUGCCUAACACAUGCAAGUCGAACGAGACCUUCGGGUCUAGUGGCGCACGGGUGCGUAACGCGUGGGAACCUGCCCUUAGGUUCGGAAUAACUCCCCGAAAGGGGUGCUAAUACCGGAUAAUGUCUUCGGACCAAAGAUUUAUCGCCUUUGGAUGGGCCCGCGUUGGAUUAGCUAGUUGGUAGGGUAAAAGCCUACUAAGGCGACGAUCCAUAGCUGGUCUGAGAGGAUGAUCAGCCACACUGGGACUGAGACACGGCCCAGACUCCUACGGGAGGCAGCAGGGGGGAAGAUUGAACAAUGGGCGAAAGCCUAAGCCAGCAAUGCCGCGUGAGUGAUGAAGGCCUUAGGGUUGUAAGGCUCUUUUACCCGGGAUGAUAAUGACAGUACCGGGAGAAUAAGCUCCGGCUAACUCCGU